Molecule: small RNA, 28 nt
Filed under: Bombyx mori (domestic silkworm)
Lineage: Eukaryota; Metazoa; Arthropoda; Insecta; Lepidoptera; Bombycidae
Description: ovarian small RNA-22000
Source: RNAcentral
UAGAGAUAACAAUGAAUAUACUCUGUGU